Podarcis lilfordi (Lilford's wall lizard) is the source of this 737-nucleotide non-coding RNA. NCBI's taxonomy places the organism in Eukaryota, Metazoa, Chordata, Lepidosauria, Squamata, Lacertidae. The record is from the annotation of a GenBank genome assembly.
GCGUGCUCUGGUCCAGGGGGUCACGAAGAGUCGGACACGACUAAACGACUAAACAACAACAACAACGAACAACGCUCCAGUCUGGGCUGCGCUGCUCCUCCGCUUCCUGGCCGAGGGACCGAGGGAGAUGCUCAGAGCCCAGCCAAGAGCCAAAGGCCCCCCCAAAAAAGGGACCGAGGGAGAUGCUCAGAGCCCAGCCAAGAGCCAAAGGCCCCCCCCCAAAGGGACCGAGGGAGAUGCUCAGAGCCCAGCCAAGAGCCAAAGGCCCCCCAAAAAAGGGACUGAGGGAGAUGCUCAGAGCCCAGCCAAGAGCCAAAGGCCCCCUAAAAGGGACCAAGGGAGAUGCUCAGAGCCCAGCCAAGAGCCAAAGGCCCCCCCAAAGGGACCGAGGGAGAUGCUCAGAGCCCAGCCAAGAGCCAAAGGCCCCCCAAAAAGGGACCGAGGGAGAUGCUCAGAGCCCAGCCAAGAGCCAAAGGCCCCCCAAAAAGGGACCGAGGGAGAUGCUCAGAGCCCAGCCAAGAGCCAAAGGCCCUCCCCCAAAGGGACCGAGGGAGAUGCUCAGAGCCCAGCCAAGAGCCAAAGGCCCCCCCAAAAGGGAUUGAGGGAGAUGCUCAGAGCCCAGCCAAGAGCCCAAGGCCCCCCCAAAAAGGAUCCCUUGCCAUAGGCGGAGCCAGGUGGAAGGUGCCCCCUUAGAGCCAUUCAAAAUGACAGAAAUUAAUAGAAAUCAAAGUUCUGCC